RNAcentral lists this unclassified non-coding RNA (404 nucleotides) under soil metagenome. RNAcentral describes it as "partial contains 5.8S ribosomal RNA, internal transcribed spacer 2, and large subunit ribosomal RNA". The stretch from base 1 to 122 matches the Rfam family "5.8S ribosomal RNA", at positions 35 to 154 of the family's 154-position model. The record is from RNAcentral.
GAUGAAGAACGUAGUAAAAUGCGAUACUUGGUGUGAAUUGCAGAAUCCCGUGAACCAUCGAGUUUUUGAACGCAAGUUGCGCCCGAAGCCUUUUGGCCGAGGGCACGUCUGCCUGGGCGUCACGCAUCGCGUCGCCCCCCACAACUCUCCGUAAAGGGAACUUGUGUUUUGGGGGCGGAUAUUGGUCUCCCGUGCUCAUGGCGUGGUUGGCCGAAAUAGGAGUCCCUCCGGUGGACGCACGAACUAGUGGUGGUCGUAAAAACCCUCGUCUUUUGUUUCGUGCCGUUAGUCGCGAGGGAAACUCUUUAAAAACCCAAAUGUGUCGUCUCUUGACGGCGCUUCGACCGCGACCCCAGGUCAGGCGGGACUACCCGCUGAGUUUAAGCAUAUCAAUAAGCGGAGGA